ACCGAGAACUAUUACAAAACAGCGACGAUGCCGAGUCGUCUGAGGUAGAAAUAGAAUUUUGCAGUGGUGAUUCUCCAGCGCCUGCUCUACAUUCGGACCCAAACUGUGCUCAUUUACCACCUUGUCACUCCAUUAUCUAUCGUAACAACGGCUUGCCUUUCAACGAUGAUUCAUGGAAGCGUGUCACGGUUAUAGCCGAAGGAAAUCCAGAUCCAGAAAAAUUUGGUUUCUUCGGAGUUGGCCUGUUAUCCAUCUUUUCUCUCUGCGAU
Zophobas morio is the source of this 269-nucleotide long non-coding RNA. RefSeq lists it as uncharacterized. NCBI's taxonomy places the organism in Eukaryota, Metazoa, Arthropoda, Insecta, Coleoptera, Tenebrionidae. The transcript is spliced from 3 exons. The record is from RefSeq and is a predicted model, not a curated record.